ACGCUGGCGGCAGGCCUAACACAUGCAAGUCGAGCGGUAGAGAGAAGCUUGCUUCUCUUGAGAGCGGCGGACGGGUGAGUAAUGCCUAGGAAUCUGCCUGGUAGUGGGGGAUAACGUCCGGAAACGGACGCUAAUACCGCAUACGUCCUACGGGAGAAAGCAGGGGACCUUCGGGCCUUGCGCUAUCAGAUGAGCCUAGGUCGGAUUAGCUAGUUGGUGGGGUAAUGGCUCACCAAGGCGACGAUCCGUAACUGGUCUGAGAGGAUGAUCAGUCACACUGGAACUGAGACACGGUCCAGACUCCUACGGGAGGCAGCAGUGGGGAAUAUUGGACAAUGGGCGAAAGCCUGAUCCAGCCAUGCCGCGUGUGUGAAGAAGGUCUUCGGAUUGUAAAGCACUUUAAGUUGGGAGGAAGGGCAGUUACCUAAUACGUGAUUGUUUUGACGUUACCGACAGAAUAAGCACCGGCUAACUCUGUGCCAGCAGCCGCGGUAAUACAGAGGGUGCAAGCGUUAAUCGGAAUUACUGGGCGUAAAGCGCGCGUAGGUGGUUCGUUAAGUUGGAUGUGAAAUCCCCGGGCUCAGCCUGGGAACUGCAUUCAAAACUGACGAGCUAGAGUAUGGUAGAGGGUGGUGGAAUUUCCUGUGUAGCGGUGAAAUGCGUAGAUAUAGGAAGGAACACCAGUGGCGAAGGCGACCACCUGGACUGAUACUGACACUGAGGUGCGAAAGCGUGGGGAGCAAAC
RNAcentral lists this ribosomal RNA (745 nucleotides) under uncultured bacterium. Its description in RNAcentral is "bacterial SSU rRNA". It matches the Rfam family "Bacterial small subunit ribosomal RNA", at positions 33 to 773 of the family's 1533-position model. The record is from RNAcentral.